RNAcentral lists this long non-coding RNA (201 nucleotides) under Arachis ipaensis. RNAcentral describes it as "long non-coding RNA (AIPA_LNC002212)". The record is from RNAcentral. Lineage: Eukaryota; Viridiplantae; Streptophyta; Magnoliopsida; Fabales; Fabaceae.
AAUGUCACAAAUUACACUUAGCACUUAAAGAUAGAAUAAUCUAAAAUAUUAAUAGAUAACUAAAUUGCAUCGGCAGCAUCAAGCUUCACAUUGAAAGUUAAUCUUGAUAUCUCCUGACUGAAAUAGAAUCAAAAGCCGAAUUGGAAUUGGAGUGAAUUGGAAUGCUUGAAUAAAAAUAAAGCAUAUUAUUUAAAGCAUUUU